RNAcentral lists this ribosomal RNA (233 nucleotides) under uncultured bacterium. Its description in RNAcentral is "partial 16S ribosomal RNA". It matches the Rfam family "Bacterial small subunit ribosomal RNA", at positions 524 to 755 of the family's 1533-position model. The record is from RNAcentral.
UACGUAGGGGGCAAGCGUUGUCCGGAUUUAUUGGGCGUAAAGAGCGUGUAGGCGGCCAUGCAGGUCCGUUGUGAAAACUCGAGCUCAACCUCGAGACGCCGAUGGAAACCGCAUGGCUAGAGUCCGGAAGAGGAGAGUGGAAUUCCUGGUGUAGCGGUGAAAUGCGCAGAUAUCAAGGAAGAACACCCGUGGCUAAGGCGGCUCCUCUAGUACGGUACUGACGCUGAGACGCG